GUGUCAGCAGCCGCGGUAAUACGUAGGGUGCGAGCGUUAAUCGGAAUUACUGGGCGUAAAGCGUGCGCAGGCGGUUUCGUAAGACAGCUGUGAAAUCCCCGGGCUUAACCUGGGAACUGCGGUUGUGACUGCGAGACUAGAGUCAGGCAGAGGGGGGUGGAAUUCCACGUGUAGCAGUGAAAUGCGUAGAGAUGUGGAGGAACACCGAUGGCGAAGGCAGCCCCCUGGGCUAUGACUGACGCUCAUGCACGAAAGCGUGGGGAGCAAACAGGAUUAGAUACCCUGGUAGUCCACGCCCUAAACGAUGCCAACUAGGUGUUGGGGAAGGAGACUUCCUUAGUACCGUAGCUAACGCGUGAAGUUGGCCGCCUGGGGAGUACGGUCGCAAGAUUAAA
RNAcentral lists this ribosomal RNA (395 nucleotides) under uncultured bacterium. RNAcentral's name for it is "bacterial SSU rRNA". It matches the Rfam family "Bacterial small subunit ribosomal RNA", at positions 505 to 898 of the family's 1533-position model. The record is from RNAcentral.